UACGUAGGGUGCGAGCGUUGUCCGGAAUUAUUGGGCGUAAAGGGCUCGUAGGCGGUUUGUCGCGUCGGGAGUGAAAACCUCGGGCUUAACUCGGGGCUUGCUUUCGAUACGGGCAGACUAGAGGUAUGCAGGGGAGAACGGAAUUCCUGGUGUAGCGGUGGAAAUGCGUAGAUAUCAGGAGGAACACCGGUGGCGAAGGCGGGUCUCUGGGCCGUAACUGACGCUGGAGGAGCGAAAGCAUGGGGGAGCAAACGG
This 255-nucleotide ribosomal RNA is filed under the name uncultured bacterium. RNAcentral's name for it is "partial 16S ribosomal RNA". It matches the Rfam family "Bacterial small subunit ribosomal RNA", at positions 524 to 775 of the family's 1533-position model. The record is from RNAcentral.